ACCCUGGAAUGUAAUCUGGGCUUUCAUCACUGCAGCUGGAGCCAGGCAGGUCACCACCAGCCUGCGCCGGGCUGGGCUGCUGGUCACCAGGGAACUCUAGACCUCUGUCCAAAGCAGACUACCAGGCCUAGAGCCCAGGGAGCCAAAGGAACUGCCCACAAGAGUGAAGCAGAGGGGUGGUGGGAAAUUCCCGUGCGGCUGCUGCUGAUGUCUUGUGCCAUCGAGGCCCUGCAUAGUCUGUUGGAAGGGAAAAAACAAAAACAGGAAAGUAACCUUCAUCAUCCUCCCCUCACCCCUUUGAAUGCCAAGCAGAGGCCUCCUCCCAGCCCUGGAAGAAACCUCGGCUGUGUCCUCGUGCUGUAGCGUCGGAGAGAAAGAUGACCAGAGCCCAGCGGCUGCAUACCUAAGCUUCCAUGCUCUAGUGGCCACAUUAGAAAAAGUAAGAUGGAACAGGUAGAAUUAACUUUAAUAAUGUAUUGUGUUUAGCCCCAAGAUCUCUAAAACAUUAUCUCUUAAACAUACAUUAAUACAACAAUUUUUGAGAUACUUUACUUUCUGUUCCAGUUCUUUGAAGUUUGAUGUGUAUUUUACACUCACAGCACAUUGCUAUUUGGACCAGCCUUGGUUUGAGGGCUCAGUUGCCACAUGUGGCCCUCAAUAUCAAGGGGUGGGUAUCAAGGA
This 681-nucleotide long non-coding RNA is filed under the name Callithrix jacchus (white-tufted-ear marmoset). Its description in RNAcentral is "lncRNA (ENSCJAG00000071331.1)". Lineage: Eukaryota; Metazoa; Chordata; Mammalia; Primates; Cebidae. The record is from RNAcentral.